This 73-nucleotide transfer RNA is filed under the name Paramuricea clavata. It matches the Rfam family "tRNA". Rfam says of the family: Transfer RNA (tRNA) molecules are approximately 80 nucleotides in length. Their secondary structure includes four short double-helical elements and three loops (D, anti-codon, and T loops). The record is from Rfam by way of RNAcentral. Lineage: Eukaryota; Metazoa; Cnidaria; Anthozoa; Malacalcyonacea; Plexauridae.
GACCGCGUAGCUCAGUUGGCAGAACAUUGGACUAGUAAUCCAAAUGUCGUAGGUUCGAUUCCCAUCGUGGCCA